This 441-nucleotide ribosomal RNA is filed under the name uncultured bacterium. RNAcentral's name for it is "partial 16S ribosomal RNA". It matches the Rfam family "Bacterial small subunit ribosomal RNA", at positions 338 to 795 of the family's 1533-position model. The record is from RNAcentral.
CCUACGGGAGGCAGCAGUGGGGAAUAUUGCACAAUGGGGGAAACCCUGAUGCAGCGACGCCGCGUGAGGGAAGAAGGAUUUCGGGAUGUAAAGCUCUAUCAGCGGGGAAGAGAAAAGACGGUACCUGACUAAAAAACCCAGGCUAACUACGGGCCAGCAGCCGCGGGAAUACGGAGGGGGGAAGCGUUAGCCGGAUUUACUGGGUGGAAAGGGGGGGGAGACGGGGGGGCAAGUCUGAAGUGAAAGGCAGGGGCUUAACCCCUGAACUGCAUUUGAAACUGCCAUGCUAGAGUGCUGGAGAGGUAAGUGGAAUUCCUAGUGUAGCGGUGAAAUGCGUAGAUAUUAGGAAGAACACCAGUGGCGAAGGCGGCUUACUGGACGGUAACUGACGUUGAGGCUCGAAAGCGUGGGGAGCAAACAGGAUUAGAUACCCCAGUAGUC